ACCUUAAACCCUACUAACCUUAAACCCUAUUAUUUUCCUAAACCCUUUCUAACCCUAAACCCUACCUAACCCUAAACCCUACCUAACCCGUGCUUGGGAGUCCCUGAUGAUUAAAUAAACCAAGGAUUUUACACCCUACCUAACCCUAAACCCUACCUACCCUAAAUCCUUUCUAACCCUAAACCCUACCUAACCCUAAACCCCUUCUAACCCUAAACCCUUUCUAACCCUAAACCUUACCUGACCCUAAAUCCCUUCUAACCCUAAACCUGACCUAACCCUACCUAACCCUUUCUAGCCUUAAAUCAUACUAACCCUAAACCCUUUCUAACCCUAAACCAUGCUAACCCUAAACCCUACCUAAUUCUAAACCCUACCUAACCCUAAACCCUACUAACUCUAA
RNAcentral lists this long non-coding RNA (403 nucleotides) under Brassica napus (rape). Its description in RNAcentral is "long non-coding RNA (BNAP_LNC002139)". The record is from RNAcentral. Lineage: Eukaryota; Viridiplantae; Streptophyta; Magnoliopsida; Brassicales; Brassicaceae.